Molecule: non-coding RNA, 55 nt
Organism: Salmo salar (Atlantic salmon)
Lineage: Eukaryota; Metazoa; Chordata; Actinopteri; Salmoniformes; Salmonidae
Source: Rfam
UGCAUUCACUACUGUAAGUCGCUCUGGAUAACAGCGUCUGCUAAAAUAACUAAAA